CCUACGGGGGGCAGCAGUGGGGAAUAUUGCACAAUGGGGGAAACCCUGAUGCAGCAACGCCGCGUGAAGGAAGACGGUUUUCGGAUUGUAAACCUCUGUUCUAAGUGAAGAAUAAUGACGGUAGCUAAGGAGCAAGCCACGGCUAACUACGUGCCAGCAGCAGCGGUAAUACGUAGGUGGCAAGCGUUGUCCGGAAUUACUGGGUGUAAAGGGAGCGCAGGCGGGUUGCCAAGUCAGCUGUGAAACCUACGGGCUUAACUUGUAUACUGCAGUUGAGACUGGUUUACUUGAGUGAAGGAGAGGGUGGUGGAAUUCCGAGUGUAGCAGUGAAAUGCGUAGAUAUUCGGAAGAACACCGAUGGCGAAGGCAGCCAACUGGGAUUUAACUGACGCUGAGACUCGAAAGUGUGGGGAGCAAACAGGAUUAGAUACCCCAGUAGUC
This 441-nucleotide ribosomal RNA is filed under the name uncultured bacterium. RNAcentral's name for it is "partial 16S ribosomal RNA". It matches the Rfam family "Bacterial small subunit ribosomal RNA", at positions 338 to 795 of the family's 1533-position model. The record is from RNAcentral.